This 710-nucleotide ribosomal RNA is filed under the name uncultured Serratia sp. RNAcentral's name for it is "bacterial SSU rRNA". It matches the Rfam family "Bacterial small subunit ribosomal RNA", at positions 768 to 1478 of the family's 1533-position model. Lineage: Bacteria; Pseudomonadati; Pseudomonadota; Gammaproteobacteria; Enterobacterales; Yersiniaceae. The record is from RNAcentral.
GCAAACGGGAUUAGAUACCCUGGUAGUCCACGCUGUAAACGAUGUCGAUUUGGAGGUUGUGCCCUUGAGGCGUGGCUUCCGGAGCUAACGCGUUAAAUCGACCGCCUGGGGAGUACGGCCGCAAGGUUAAAACUCAAAUGAAUUGACGGGGGCCCGCACAAGCGGUGGAGCAUGUGGUUUAAUUCGAUGCAACGCGAAGAACCUUACCUACUCUUGACAUCCAGAGAACUUUCCAGAGAUGGAUUGGUGCCUUCGGGAACUCUGAGACAGGUGCUGCAUGGCUGUCGUCAGCUCGUGUUGUGAAAUGUUGGGUUAAGUCCCGCAACGAGCGCAACCCUUAUCCUUUGUUGCCAGCGGUUCGGCCGGGAACUCAAAGGAGACUGCCAGUGAUAAACUGGAGGAAGGUGGGGAUGACGUCAAGUCAUCAUGGCCCUUACGAGUAGGGCUACACACGUGCUACAAUGGCAUAUACAAAGAGAAGCGACCUCGCGAGAGCAAGCGGACCUCAUAAAGUAUGUCGUAGUCCGGAUUGGAGUCUGCAACUCGACUCCAUGAAGUCGGAAUCGCUAGUAAUCGUAGAUCAGAAUGCUACGGUGAAUACGUUCCCGGGCCUUGUACACACCGCCCGUCACACCAUGGGAGUGGGUUGCAAAAGAAGUAGGUAGCUUAACCUUCGGGAGGGCGCUUACCACUUUGUGAUUCAUGACUGG